This 253-nucleotide ribosomal RNA is filed under the name uncultured bacterium. Its description in RNAcentral is "partial 16S ribosomal RNA". It matches the Rfam family "Bacterial small subunit ribosomal RNA", at positions 524 to 776 of the family's 1533-position model. The record is from RNAcentral.
UACGUAGGGGGCAAGCGUUGUCCGGAUUUAUUGGGCGUAAAGAGCGUGUAGGAGGCUAGAUAGGUCCGUUGUGAAAACUCGAGGCUCAACCUCGAGACGUCGAUGGAAACCAUCUGGCUAGAGUCCGGAAGAGGAGAGUGGAAUUCCUGGUGUAGCGGUGAAAUGCGCAGAUAUCAGGAAGAACACCCGUGGCGAAGGCGGCUCUCUGGUACGUGACUGACGCUGAGACGCGAAAGCGUGGGGAGCAAACAGG